This 465-nucleotide ribosomal RNA is filed under the name uncultured Klebsiella sp. RNAcentral describes it as "bacterial SSU rRNA". It matches the Rfam family "Bacterial small subunit ribosomal RNA", at positions 338 to 795 of the family's 1533-position model. The record is from RNAcentral. Lineage: Bacteria; Pseudomonadati; Pseudomonadota; Gammaproteobacteria; Enterobacterales; Enterobacteriaceae.
CCUACGGGAGGCAGCAGUGGGGAAUAUUGCACAAUGGGCGCAAGCCUGAUGCAGCCAUGCCGCGUGUGUGAAGAAGGCCUUCGGGUUGUAAAGCACUUUCAGCGGGGAGGAAGGCGUUAAGGUUAAUAACCUUGUCGAUUGACGUUACCCGCAGAAGAAGCACCGGCUAACUCCGUGCCAGCAGCCGCGGUAAUACGGAGGGUGCAAGCGUUAAUCGGAAUUACUGGGCGUAAAGCGCACGCAGGCGGUCUGUCAAGUCGGAUGUGAAAUCCCCGGGCUCAACCUGGGAACUGCAUUCGAAACUGGUAGGCUAGAGUCUUGUAGAGGGGGGAAGAAUUCCAGGUGUAGCGGUGAAAUGCGUAGAGAUCUGGAGGAAUACCGGUGGCGAAGGCGGCCCCCUGGACAAAGACUGACGCUCAGGUGCGAAAGCGUGGGGAGCAAACAGGAUUAGAUACCCUUGUAGUC